This 87-nucleotide unclassified non-coding RNA is filed under the name Pseudomonas azotoformans. Lineage: Bacteria; Pseudomonadati; Pseudomonadota; Gammaproteobacteria; Pseudomonadales; Pseudomonadaceae. RNAcentral also lists the same sequence under 1 other name. The record is from RNAcentral.
GUGGGAGGGGGCUUGCCCCCGAUGGCGUCGGGUCAGCCAGAAAUUUCUAACCUGAUACACCGCUAUCGGGGGCAAGCCCCCUCCCAC